This 497-nucleotide ribosomal RNA is filed under the name uncultured bacterium. RNAcentral's name for it is "partial 16S ribosomal RNA". It matches the Rfam family "Bacterial small subunit ribosomal RNA", at positions 899 to 1397 of the family's 1533-position model. The record is from RNAcentral.
ACUCAAAUGAAUUGACGGGGGCCCGCACAAGCAGCGGAGCAUGUGGUUUAAUUCGACGCAACGCGAAGAACCUUACCUGGGCUUGACAUGUGCCUGACCGGCCUGGAAACAGGUCUUCCCUUCGGGGCAGGUUCACAGGUGGUGCAUGGCUGUCGUCAGCUCGUGUCGUGAGAUGUUGGGUUAAGUCCCGCAACGAGCGCAACCCCCGUCGCAUGUUGCCAGCAUUUAGUUGGGGACUCAUGCGAGACUGCCGGUGACAAACCGGAGGAAGGUGGGGAUGACGUCAAGUCAUCAUGCCCCUUAUGUUCAGGGCUACACACGUGCUACAUUGGCGUCUACAAAGGGCUGCGAUACCGCGAGGUGGAGCGAAUCCCAUAAAGGACGUCUCGGUUCGGAUUGCAGGCUGAAACCCGCCUGCAUGAAGGUGGAGUUGCUAGUAAUCAUGGAUCAGCAUUGCCAUGGUGAAUACGUUCCCGGGCCUUGCACACACCGCCCGU